UACGGAGGGUGCAAGCGUUAAUCGGAAUUACUGGGCGUAAAGCGCACGUAGGCGGCUUGUUAAGUCGGAUGUGAAAGCCCCGGGCUCAACCUGGGAAUGGCAUCCGAUACUGGCAAGCUAGAGUAUAAGAGAGGGUGGAAGAAUUUCUAGUGUAGCGGUGAAAUGCGUAGAUAUUAGAAGGAAUACCGGUGGCGAAGGCGGCCACCUGGCUUGAUACUGACGCUGAGGUGCGAAAGCGUGGGGAGCAAACAGG
This 253-nucleotide ribosomal RNA is filed under the name uncultured Gammaproteobacteria bacterium. Its description in RNAcentral is "partial 16S ribosomal RNA". It matches the Rfam family "Bacterial small subunit ribosomal RNA", at positions 524 to 776 of the family's 1533-position model. Lineage: Bacteria; Pseudomonadati; Pseudomonadota; Gammaproteobacteria. The record is from RNAcentral.